GUACGAAAGAGGAGCAUCGAGGAGCGCGCGCACAGGCGUGACCUUGACGAACGACAGUCGUACAGCCAAGCCGAAAGUCAAACAAAUCCAGGAAUGGUAACUGUCAAAACUGCCGCUGGAAGCGUUGCCAGUGCCGUCACUUUGGCUCGUGAAUCUUUACGAGAAAUUUUUACAUUGACAGAUACGCCACGACACGUAUCAGGGACACUCGAGUGACUUGACACAUAAUGAUACAUUAACUAACCGCACUGGACUCUUACUCUUGCGAAUUACAGUGAAUUAUGCACGUAAGGUAGUCGAAACUUCGAGCAAGGAACGCACCGAGUGGAAAGCAAGCGCCCGAAGACAGGAAUCCGGCAUGGCGGCGCGCGCUGCACUAACCGUUGAGUCUGGUGUUACUUGAGUGGGGGAAAAACCGUAAGUCGUACUGGUAAACUCGGCAGGAAGGGGACAAUGGUUAGAGAUUAGAAACCUUAAAAUUGGGGUUAGACUGUAUUUUACAUGGAUGGUAUAAAACGUCAACUGAGCAGUGUUGUGUCUGCUUCAAAUUUCGCCGGUUUAUUAUGGCGAUCGAGGCGCGCUCUGUCGUCGACGCGACGAACUAAGAUAAAAGUAAAGAAAUAAUACAAGUCUUUAAACAGCUUUAAUAUAAACACAGAGAAUUAUUCUAAAUCGCAAUUGCGAGUCGCGAGAACGUAAAUUUCGUGAUGUUUUAUUUUGUCAGUUACCUGGUAAGUCCGAAGAAGAAUUACGUCUUAUUAAUUAUUAUACUUUCAACAACGCCAAUUUCCAUUGUCCUCCCUCGUACUUUCCAACCACCCGUCUCUCGCAGCGCGUUAUGCGUUUUCAAGAAGAAACAGCCCAAUUUCUCGCACACCCUCGACGCGUCCAGACCUGCGUCAGUCAGUAAGCAGCAUGGCUCAGCCAAGUAAUGGCGGACUCUCCGAACUCGAUUUCAUAACCCGUCGGUCCGGUAGCAAAAUGUAUUCCAGCCACGCGUCGUGUUAUUGUGCUGCGCUACGGUAUACACCCACUCGAGGCAGACAGAGAGUACAUAGUACGGUCUCCGCGAAUCGUGUACAUACAUUAGCAUACGCCAAGGAGUGUACAGGAAAUACCGGCAUUCGAAGCGCGCGAUACUUCUCGUGCGCUGUGCACUCUGGACAGAAAUACAUUGUCUCGUACUGGAAUAACAGACCGAUAAGACGCCGAGUGACAGAACUUUGUGGAUUCGUUAAGACUCGCAGCUCCCUACCCAGCGACACGUGCUUCCCAUCAAGAGGACGCGCUUUUGACUCCCGACUCAGACUCGGGUACACGGCAGUGAAAACCUUCAGCCUCCUCCAGUACAUUAAUCAAAACCCCAACCCUAACCAAUGCUUAAAUAUAUCCACACCUAAUCCGUCACGUAGCCACGGAUAUUUUAAAACCCCUUUUUCAAGACUUUCCAAAACCAGACCUUCUCUUAACGUAAAAUCUUAUUAACACGAGGGUCGCCGCUACGGUUGAACCCAGUUAACUUUUCUUACCUGCACCCGACCCUUAUUCGACAACCGAUCUGAUUUUAUAUUAAUCAAAUUUACCGCGGGUCUACGUUCGUUGUACUCUAAUUCUAAUGUACGUAAUGUCAAAGUUUAACAACCUCUUUCACGAGGUCAGUGACCUCACUGUCAAUUCCCAUUAUUUUACACGUUGCCAAAAAUUCAGCUGACAGACAAUUUAAUUUUUUAUUGCCGAUUCUCAUAUCGCACGCAAUUCUUUCGACACUACUGAAAAUCCUACUGAAUUUAUCCUCCAUAAAUUUUGGCACUGUGUAUACAUAUACGGUGAAUAAUUUUUUGCAAUAUGCCCGAAAUCACGCACGACGUCACUGUGACAGCAUCUAUAUCCGUGUCUGUCUAACGAUACCAUUAAUGUCUGAAAAGCGACGACCACGUGUACCACACAGGUCCAUCCAGCAUCCGUACUAACGACCGAAGUAUCUACACUGCCACGAUCGCUCUCGGCAGAGAGAAUUAUAAUCGCAUUAGCAAUUUUCAAAGCCGAAGCCACCGUCGUAGAAAAUCUUGUGUGGUCCAGCGUGGGCGCUAUCUCAGUUUUCUCAUGGAUCUCCGCGACGGCACCAUUAACGUAACUUAAGGAGCCGAACCACCCUCCAAUUUCUUCACGAACAUUAAACAACGUCCCGUGCUCCAUAUCCGACCUGCAUAGCUAAGAGAAGAAAGCAAUACGUCAGCACGACGAGUCCCUUGCGUCACCUGAACGAUGCAUAAAGGAAGCAAGCUCAGCAACGAUCCCCGCAGGUGUCACGGCAUAACGUGUACGUCGCUUCUUAUUGGACAUAUAUAAACACGGCUGACUAUGGGCCGGGUCCUUUCCAUUCCGUCGAUUAUAUCGAGAUCAACCAUUGGACGACAUUCGCGUAUCUCACGUGGUAGACCGUAUCGUAAAACACUGCGCCGACAUAUAUCAACGUACCCGCCGUGGCAGUGAAGUCAACUAGCGCUAUCGCCUCUGUACUAUCUGGAUAAAUAGAUGUUAAUUAUGCGCGUACUGUACCAGGCUAGACAAUGGAAACGACGUACCUUGACCCAUAGGUAACGUUGGAGACCGAUGCGAUUGUACGGGACGAUCUAUGGCUGCUUUCAAAGAUAUUUAUGGAAAUCCUGACGAACGAGGGUAUCGUUUAUCGCAGAGGUGGGUCGUAAUGAAAUUUUUGCGAUAAUAAAACAACAAUUUUUUUUUUAUACGAUACUCAAAAUUCUCUUCUCAUUUUUCAAACGUUAAAUCCCGAACGUGUUUUUUAAUUGGACGUUUUACGAGCGAGGUACGAGUGACUUCGUUGUUUUUCUUAUCGACAAGAAGCCACUGUAAAAAGUUGUACCUGUUAAUAACGCGGUUGCUAAGUUACCACAGUAUAUAUAUAUAUAUACGAACAUAAUCGAGACAAUAUGCGUAAAUGUUUAGUAAUUAGCCGUCUUGUUCUCGAUGACUCUAUCGGACUACAGAAGCUUCAAAAAGUACGUAUAAAUUUCAAAAGGCAAUUUAACGUAUUUAAACCUUAAAAUAAGAAUGAUAAAUUUUUUUUUCAUUAGGAAUACAAAGAAUAUUUCGAAUGACGUAACCACGCUGUCACGGGUAUCCAAGUUACCGCGAGUAUUGAAAGCUUGACAAAUUUAAAGCUGAGAAUCACUCGAGGCACGUAAGAAGGAAAGAAAUGUCCGCUUGACGAAUCAUUGACCCAAUGACACAAUUACCAUAUCCGCGUACGAUGCUGUUUACAAGCAAGAAAGCCCAACGGGGAUUUCACAAUGGCAAAGGGAAGCAAAGGGCCCGUGCGAGCGAGCAGGCAUUUCGUAAUGGACACCUACCGCGUCCCACCCACGCGUCCCACGAAUCGGGUCUCAUGAAGUUGCGCAAUUCUGCUCUGCAAUCAACAAACACAUUUUCCCCGUAAUUCAUUUUUCGUUUUAACCAGUUUAAAAUUCUACACCGAUAUACGUCACCGAUCCGUUCGCCAGGAACGAACGACUUUCUUGCAAAUAGUCUUGGGCCACGCAUAUAUCCACCAAUAGAAAAUUGCACGCUACGUAUGCACACGCGAGAGCCGAUACAAGCUAUUAUAAUAUAAGCACACGUGGAAACACUAUCCAUCGCGAUUACUAAUGACUCCGGCAUUAGUCGAGAAUUAUCCGUUAAACGUUUGGCGUAAUGAGAAGUGUCGAUCGUACCGAUCGCCGACUGUUAUUACUGUGCCUCUUACCAGUCCAGCCGAGCAUUAGCGAUUUCCACGGGAGCCAUUACGUAUACGUAUUACAUACACACGGUUCAUACAUAUGCAUGAAACCGCCAGUGCAAUUUCAUUAUUUAUACGAAUGAAAAAAAAAAAAAUUUUUUUUUUUUUAUAUAUUAAAAAUACCAGAAUAUCAAAGUCCUCUCGGUAUUUACCGACACUGUAAAUUCGCUGUUUCGUAGAUUUUUGAAAAUUCGUUAUAUUCACCAAUAACGUCCUGGCGACUUUGACGGCCUUAGGGCGUCUAAUGUUCUUACUACUAGGGUUGACCUUUGACCUAAGAUUGUAUUAAAUACGUGCAAUCGGAUAUGUCAAAAUUUAAGGAGGACUCGCGUAUCGACAUUAUUUUCAUCGAUCAUCGCAUGUCUCGUGGGAUUAACAUAUUUCUCUAUGGGUUCAACGAUUGCGUCGUCCUGUCGGUAGCGCUUAUCUAUUCGAGGUCAAAUAUUUCGUUAAUGCAAGAAAGGUCGACUUUCGUAUACCCGAUUUUAAAUUAACGCUUGCUGGGUCGUGCCAGGCUUCUUUUGGGAAUGCUUCAUCGAUGUACUGGAAGAUCGAGUGUCUCGACGCGUGACGAGACACACGAGUCGCGCGAUGUUAAUUCAUAAUAAUACGAGACACCAGGUGGCUUUGUAACGCAUGCACGAGGAUUAUGCGAAUAAUAGGAUUGACGCGCUUUGGUUAUUCCGCCUCGAACUAUGGCCUUGUCGAAACCCACAAAAAGCCCACCUGCCGUUACGGCCCUGACGACGCUAGACGUCCCGCCAUUGUAGUAACGUCAGACGUAUUCAAAUCUCAC
Long non-coding RNA from Cephus cinctus (wheat stem sawfly), 4592 nucleotides. RefSeq lists it as uncharacterized. The transcript is spliced from 3 exons. Lineage: Eukaryota; Metazoa; Arthropoda; Insecta; Hymenoptera; Cephidae. The record is from RefSeq and is a predicted model, not a curated record.